UACAGAGGGGGCAAGCGUUGUUCGGAAUUACUGGGCGUAAAGGGCGCGUAGGCGGCCGCCUAAGUCAGACGUGAAAUCCCUCGGCUCAACCGGGGAACUGCGUCUGAUACUGGGUGGCUUGAAUCCGGGAGAGGGAUGCGGAAUUCCAGGUGUAGCGGUGAAAUGCGUAGAGAUAUGGAGGAACACCAGUGGCGAAGGCGACUUUCUGGUCUGUAACUGACACUGAGGCGCGAAAGCGUGGGGAGCAAACAGG
This 253-nucleotide ribosomal RNA is filed under the name uncultured bacterium. RNAcentral's name for it is "partial 16S ribosomal RNA". It matches the Rfam family "Bacterial small subunit ribosomal RNA", at positions 524 to 776 of the family's 1533-position model. The record is from RNAcentral.